RNAcentral lists this ribosomal RNA (253 nucleotides) under uncultured bacterium. Its description in RNAcentral is "partial 16S ribosomal RNA". It matches the Rfam family "Bacterial small subunit ribosomal RNA", at positions 524 to 776 of the family's 1533-position model. The record is from RNAcentral.
UACAGAGGGUGCGAGCGUUGUCCGGAAUCACUGGGCGUAAAGGGCGCGUAGGUGGCGGGAUAAGUGUGUGGUGAAAGCUCGGGGCUCAACCCCGAGUCUGCCAUGCAGACUGUCUUGCUCGAGCAUAGUAGAGGCAGGUGGAAUUCCGGGUGUAGCGGUGGAAUGCGUAGAGAUCCGGAAGAACACCGGUGGCGAAGGCGGCCUGCUGGGCUAUUGCUGACACUGAGGCGCGACAGCGUGGGGAGCAAACAGG